Molecule: ribosomal RNA, 1530 nt
Filed under: Psychrobacter sp. KJF3-30
Lineage: Bacteria; Pseudomonadati; Pseudomonadota; Gammaproteobacteria; Moraxellales; Moraxellaceae
Description: bacterial SSU rRNA
Rfam family: Bacterial small subunit ribosomal RNA
Source: RNAcentral
AGAGUUUGAUUCCUGGCUCAGAUUGAACGCUGGCGGCAGGCUUAACACAUGCAAGUCGAGCGGAAACGAUGAUAGCUUGCUAUCAGGCGUCGAGCGGCGGACGGGUGAGUAAUACUUAGGAAUCUACCUAGUAGUGGGGGAUAGCACGGGGAAACUCGUAUUAAUACCGCAUACGACCUACGGGAGAAAGGGGGCAGUUUACUGCUCUCGCUAUUAGAUGAGCCUAAGUCGGAUUAGCUAGAUGGUGGGGUAAAGGCCUACCAUGGCGACGAUCUGUAGCUGGUCUGAGAGGAUGAUCAGCCACACCGGGACUGAGACACGGCCCGGACUCCUACGGGAGGCAGCAGUGGGGAAUAUUGGACAAUGGGGGAAACCCUGAUCCAGCCAUGCCGCGUGUGUGAAGAAGGCCUUUUGGUUGUAAAGCACUUUAAGCAGUGAAGAAGACUCCGUGGUUAAUACCCACGGACGAUGACAUUAGCUGCAGAAUAAGCACCGGCUAACUCUGUGCCAGCAGCCGCGGUAAUACAGAGGGUGCAAGCGUUAAUCGGAAUUACUGGGCGUAAAGGGAGCGUAGGUGGCUCUAUAAGUCAGAUGUGAAAUCCCCGGGCUCAACCUGGGAACUGCAUCUGAAACUGUAGAGCUAGAGUAUGUGAGAGGAAGGUAGAAUUCCAGGUGUAGCGGUGAAAUGCGUAGAGAUCUGGAGGAAUACCGAUGGCGAAGGCAGCCUUCUGGCAUAAUACUGACACUGAGGCUCGAAAGCGUGGGUAGCAAACAGGAUUAGAUACCCUGGUAGUCCACGCCGUAAACGAUGUCUACUAGUCGUUGGGUCCCUUGAGGACUUAGUGACGCAGCUAACGCAAUAAGUAGACCGCCUGGGGAGUACGGCCGCAAGGUUAAAACUCAAAUGAAUUGACGGGGGCCCGCACAAGCGGUGGAGCAUGUGGUUUAAUUCGAUGCAACGCGAAGAACCUUACCUGGUCUUGACAUAUCUAGAAUCCUGCAGAGAUGCGGGAGUGCCUUCGGGAAUUAGAAUACAGGUGCUGCAUGGCUGUCGUCAGCUCGUGUCGUGAGAUGUUGGGUUAAGUCCCGCAACGAGCGCAACCCUUGUCCUUAGUUACCAGCGGGUUAAGCCGGGAACUCUAAGGAUACUGCCAGUGACAAACUGGAGGAAGGCGGGGACGACGUCAAGUCAUCAUGGCCCUUACGACCAGGGCUACACACGUGCUACAAUGGUAGGUACAGAGGGCAGCUACACAGCGAUGUGAUGCGAAUCUCAAAAAGCCUAUCGUAGUCCAGAUUGGAGUCUGCAACUCGACUCCAUGAAGUAGGAAUCGCUAGUAAUCGCGGAUCAGAAUGCCGCGGUGAAUACGUUCCCGGGCCUUGUACACACCGCCCGUCACACCAUGGGAGUUGAUUGCACCAGAAGUGGAUAGCUUAACCUUCGGGGAGGCGUUCACCACGGUGUGGUUGAUGACUGGGGUGAAGUCGUAACAAGGUAGCCGUAGGGGAACCUGCGGCUGGAUCACCUCA